This 727-nucleotide ribosomal RNA is filed under the name uncultured marine eukaryote. Its description in RNAcentral is "SSU rRNA". It matches the Rfam family "Eukaryotic small subunit ribosomal RNA", at positions 452 to 1185 of the family's 1831-position model. The record is from RNAcentral.
UGACACAGGGAGGUAGUGACAAGAAAUAACAAUACAGGGCUAUUUUAGUCUUGUAAUCGGAAUGAGUACAAUUUACAUCUCUUCACGAGGAUCAAUUGGAGGGCAAGUCUGGUGCCAGCAGCCGCGGUAAUUCCAGCUCCAAUAGCGUAUAUUAAAGUUGUUGCAGUUAAAACGCUCGUAGUCGGAUUUCGGGGCGGGCCGACCGGUCUGCCGAUGGGUAUGCACUGGCCGGCGCGUCCUUCCACCCGGAGACCGCGCCUACUCUUAACUGAGCGGGCGCGGGAGACGGGUCUUUUACUUUGAAAAAAUCAGAGUGUUUCAAGCAGGCAGUCGCGCUUGCAUGGAUUAGCAUGGGAUAAUGAAAUAGGACUCUGGUGCUAUUUUGUUGGUUUCGAACACCGGAGUAAUGAUUAACAGGGACAGUCAGGGGCACUCGUAUUCCGCCGAGAGAGGUGAAAUUCUCAGACCAGCGGAAGACGAACCACUGCGAAAGCAUUUGCCAGGGAUGUUUUCACUGAUCAAGAACGAAAGUUAGGGGAUCGAAGACGAUCAGAUACCGUCGUAGUCUUAACCAUAAACCAUGCCGACUAGGGAUUGGAGGAUGUUCCAUUUGUGACUCCUUCAGCACCUUUCGGGAAACUAAAGUCUUUGGGUUCCGGGGGGAGUAUGGUCGCAAGGCUGAAACUUAAAGGAAUUGACGGAAGGGCACCACCAGGAGUGGAGCCUG